Molecule: ribosomal RNA, 301 nt
Filed under: uncultured eukaryote
Lineage: Eukaryota
Description: partial large subunit ribosomal RNA
Rfam family: Eukaryotic large subunit ribosomal RNA
Source: RNAcentral
AUAUUAAUAAGCGGAGGAAAAGAAACUAACUAGGAUUCCCAUAGUAAUGGCGAACGAAGUGGGAAAAGCUCAAUGUUGGAAUCCUUCGGGAAUUGUAGUUUACCGAGGUGUUUUAAGGUGCAGGAGAAUGAGCAAGUCUCUUGGAAAAGAGCAUUACAAAGGGUGAUAAUCCCGUAGCUCAAUCUCUGUGUACUGUACUAGGCACUUUUGGAGAGUCAGGUUGUUUGGGAAUGCAACCUAAAUGGGGUGGUAGGCAUCAUCCAAAGCUAAAUAUAGACACGAGACCGAUAGCGCACAAGUA